GAUGAACGCUGGCGGCGUGCCUAAUACAUGCAAGUCGAGCGAACAGACGAGGAGCUUGCUCCUCUGACGUUAGCGGCGGACGGGUGAGUAACACGUGGAUAACCUACCUAUAAGACUGGGAUAACUUCGGGAAACCGGAGCUAAUACCGGAUAAUAUAUUGAACCGCAUGGUUCAAUAGUGAAAGACGGUUUUGCUGUCACUUAUAGAUGGAUCCGCGCCGCAUUAGCUAGUUGGUAAGGUAACGGCUUACCAAGGCAACGAUGCGUAGCCGACCUGAGAGGGUGGUCGGCCACCCUGGAACUGAGACACGGUCCAGACUCCUACGGGAGGAAGCAGUAGGGAAUCUUCCGCAAUGGGGGAAAGCCUGACGGAGCAACGCCGCGUGAGUGAUGAAGGUCUUCGGAUCGUAAAACUCUGUUAUUAGUGAAGAACAAAUGUGUAAGUAACUAUGCACGUCUUGACGGUACCUAAUCAGAAAGCCACGGCUAACUACGUG
This 497-nucleotide ribosomal RNA is filed under the name uncultured bacterium. RNAcentral describes it as "partial 16S ribosomal RNA". It matches the Rfam family "Bacterial small subunit ribosomal RNA", at positions 28 to 507 of the family's 1533-position model. The record is from RNAcentral.